This 699-nucleotide ribosomal RNA is filed under the name Fusarium oxysporum. Its description in RNAcentral is "SSU rRNA". It matches the Rfam family "Bacterial small subunit ribosomal RNA", at positions 366 to 949 of the family's 1533-position model. The record is from RNAcentral. Lineage: Eukaryota; Fungi; Ascomycota; Sordariomycetes; Hypocreales; Nectriaceae.
GGUCAAUGGCCUAACGGCUGAACUGGCAACUUGGAGAAGUGGCAAGUCUUCCAGUAUGGGGAGCAAAACAGCUAUGGGUCAAGUCCGAUAUCUUUAGGAGAAGUCUUAUUGUGAGGGCGAGUUAUAUAACACCAUAGGACUGGCCGUCCCAUAUGAAAAGAUUAUAUUAGAAUUGAAUGAAGCUUUGUUUAUAUAUUGAUAAUGACAGUAUAUAUAUCGUGUCUUGACUAAUUGCGUGCCAGCAGUCGCGGUAAUACGUAAGAGACUAGUGUUAUUCAUCUUAAUUAGGUUUAAAGGGUACCCAGACGGUCAAUAUAGCUUAUAAAAUGUUAGUACUUGACUAGAGUUUUAUGUAAGAGGGCAGUACUUGAGGAGGAGAGAUGAAAUUUCGUGAUACCAAAGGGACUCUGUAAAGGCGAAGGCAGCCCUCUAUGUAAAAACUGACGUUGAAGGACGAAGGCACAGAGAACAAACAGGAUUAGAUACCCAAGUAGUCUUUGCAGUAAAUGAUGAAUGCCAUAGGUUAGAUUGGUCAAUUAUAGUCUAGGGUUAGUCUAGCAAACUAAUACCCUAUGCUAUAAUCCUAAUAUCUGGUCUAUAAAUGAAAGUGUAAGCAUUUCACCUCAAGAGUAAUGUGGCAACGCAGGAACUGAAAUCACUAGACCGUUUCUGACACCAGUAGUGAAGUAUGUUAUUUAA